UCCAUUGCUCAGUUGGUAGAGCACAAGGCUCUUAACCCUGUGGUCUUGGGUUCAAGCCCCAUGAUGGAG
Molecule: transfer RNA, 69 nt
Filed under: Triticum aestivum (bread wheat)
Lineage: Eukaryota; Viridiplantae; Streptophyta; Magnoliopsida; Poales; Poaceae
Also listed under: 1 other name
Rfam family: tRNA
About the family: Transfer RNA (tRNA) molecules are approximately 80 nucleotides in length.
Source: Rfam by way of RNAcentral